RNAcentral lists this ribosomal RNA (460 nucleotides) under uncultured bacterium. RNAcentral's name for it is "partial 16S ribosomal RNA". It matches the Rfam family "Bacterial small subunit ribosomal RNA", at positions 338 to 795 of the family's 1533-position model. The record is from RNAcentral.
CCUACGGGGGGCAGCAGUGAGGAAUAUUGGUCAAUGGGCGAGAGCCUGAACCAGCCAAGUCGCGUGAAGGAUGACGGCCCUACGGGUUGUAAACUUCUUUUGUCAGGGAGCAAUUGGGUCCACGCGUGGGCUUAGCGAGAGUACCUGAAGAAAAAGCAUCGGCUAACUCCGUGCCAGCAGCCGCGGUAAUACGGAGGAUGCGAGCGUUAUCCGGAUUUAUUGGGUUUAAAGGGUGCGUAGGCGGAUCGUUAAGUCAGUGGUCAAAUUGAGGGGCUCAACCCCUUCCCGCCAUUGAAACUGGCGCUCUUGAGUGGAAGAGAAGUAUGCGGAAUGCGUGGUGUAGCGGUGAAAUGCAUAGAUAUCACGCAGAACCCCGAUUGCGAAGGCAGCAUGCCGGCUUCCGACUGACGCUGAAGCACGAAAGCGUGGGGAUCGAACAGGAUUAGAUACCCGGGUAGUC